UGAAUACGAGACGCUAAGGCGUCGAAGUAGUGUAUGUCAUACUUCCAAGAAAAGCUUGCACUGUCAUAAGUAAAAAAUGCCUGUACCAUAACCGACACAGGUGGGUAGGUAGAGUAUACUAAGGGGCGCGAGAUAACUCUCUCUAAGGAACUCGGCAAAAUAACUCCGUAACUUCGGGAGAAGGAGUACCUUAUUCUAUAAGGUUGCAAUAACAAGAUCCAAGCAACUGUUUAUCAAAAACACAGGUCUCCGCUAAGUCGUAAGACGAUGUAUGGGGGCUGACGCCUGCCCAGUGCCAGAAGGUUAAAGAAGUCGGUUAGCAUUAGCGAAGCUGGUAACUGAAGCCCUGGUGAACGGCGGCCGUAACCAUAACGGUCCUAAGGUAGCGAAAUUCCUUGUCGGGUAAGUUCCGACCCGCACGAAAGGCGUAAUGAUUUGGAUACUGUCUCGGAGAGGGGCUCGGUGAAAUAGACUUGUCUGUAAGAUGCGGACUACCUGCACCAGGACAGAAAGACCCUAUGAAGCUUUACUGUAACUUGAAAUUGAAAUUGGACUUUAUUCGCGCAGUAUAGGUGGGAGGUGUUGAUUAUAAUCUUGCGGGAUUAUUGGAGCCAUCAGUGAGAUACCACUCUUGUAAUGUUAGAUUUCUAACUUUGAAUCAUUAUCUGGUCAAAGGACAGUUUCAGGCGGGCAGUUUGACUGGGGCGGUCGCCUCCCAAACGGUAACGGAGGCGUACAAAGGUUUCCUCUGAACGGGUAGAAAUCGUAUCUAGAGUGUAAAGGCAUAAGGAAGCUUGACUGUGAGACCUACAAGUCGAACAGGGACGAAAGUCGGUCUUAGUGAUCUGACGGUACUGAGUGGAAAGGCCGUCACUCAACGGAUAAAAGUUACUCUAAGGAUAACAGGCUGAUCUCCCCCAAGAGUUCACAUCGACGGGGAGGUUUGGCACCUCGAUGUCGGCUCAUCGCAUCCUGGGGCGGUAGUACGUCCCAAGGGUUGGGCUGUUCGCCCAUGAAAGCGGUACGCGAGCUGGGUUCAGAACGUCGUGAGACAGUUCGGUCCAUAUCCGGUGUAGGCGUUAGAAUAUUGAGAGGAGCCUUCUUUAGUACGAGAGGACCGAGAAGGACAUACCUCUGGUGUACCAGUUAUCGUGCCAACGGUAAACGCUGGGUAGCUAUGUAUGGAGUGGAUAACCGCUGAAAGCAUCUAAGUGGGAAGCCCACCUCAAGAUAAG
Molecule: ribosomal RNA, 1235 nt
Filed under: metagenome
Description: bacterial LSU rRNA
Rfam family: Bacterial large subunit ribosomal RNA
Source: RNAcentral